CGGAGGAGUACGAAGGUGCACUCGGUACGGUCGGAAAUCGUGCCAAGAGAAUAAAGGCAAAAGUGCGCUUGACUGCGAGAGUGACGGCUCGAGCAGGUACGAAAGGAGGUCUUAGUGAUCCGGUGGUCCCGAAUGGAAGGGUCAUCGCUCAACGGAUAAAAGGUACUCCGGGGAUAACCGGCUAAUUCCUCCCAAGAGUUCAUAUCGACGGAGGAGUUUGGCACCUCGAUGUCGGCUCAUCACAUCCUGGG
This 251-nucleotide ribosomal RNA is filed under the name Francisella tularensis subsp. holarctica. RNAcentral describes it as "partial 23S ribosomal RNA". It matches the Rfam family "Bacterial large subunit ribosomal RNA", at positions 2301 to 2551 of the family's 2925-position model. The record is from RNAcentral. Lineage: Bacteria; Pseudomonadati; Pseudomonadota; Gammaproteobacteria; Thiotrichales; Francisellaceae.